Molecule: long non-coding RNA, 366 nt
Organism: Notothenia coriiceps (black rockcod)
Lineage: Eukaryota; Metazoa; Chordata; Actinopteri; Perciformes; Nototheniidae
Exons: 3
Source: RefSeq, a predicted model, not a curated record
AGGAGGAGUUCCGACCACAUAACAACUCUUUCACUGGAAGAGACUUUGAUGCUGAAGCUGGAUGGGUACACACCACAUCGCUCCAGCUGAUGCGUGCCAAAGGAGGAGAUGCUGGCUCUAGGAUGUGCCCUCUCCUGAGCACAAUUUAUGAGGCCCAGAGUAUUGGAAAAAAGGGAUGCAGUGGCCAGGUGCCUGAUUGAAUAUCUUGGAGAACACCAAGAAGACCUUUUUCAAGACAGCCAGGACGAGCAUGACAACGUCAUGGACCAAACUAUGAAGGUGCUUGUGAUCCAUGAUGCCAGGGACAGGGGACCAGCAUAUGUGUCCAUUGUCAUAGAGGGAGACAGAGUUUUGAAUUUGUGCGGA